Molecule: long non-coding RNA, 487 nt
Organism: Canis lupus familiaris (dog)
Lineage: Eukaryota; Metazoa; Chordata; Mammalia; Carnivora; Canidae
Exons: 3
Source: RefSeq, a predicted model, not a curated record
GGUCCAGGCCAAGCCAGGUGUUUGCUUUCAAACUGGAUCUGUCCGCUCUUUGUAAACCACACUCCACACCGAGGACGGCUCUGCUCCUGAGAUCGCCAGGCACGUUUUGUCUAGGCACCAGGAAAUCAACCAGCCAGGUCUGGUCUGCACGGACUAAGCAGUUAUCAGAGGAUUCAUAGGAAAGAGAAAGCCCUCUAAGGGCAAUAUGAACAUCUCAGUGACAGGUUCCUGACCUGGCCGAUGAUCCACCAAUUCAGAUGAAAGUCGUGCUACACCUGUGUGUUCCAAACCCGGCCGAUCGUCCAAACCAUGUCAGGGUAUUCAAAACAAAACAAAUAGCGCACAUCUAGGACCUCCUGAAUCCCAACCCAGAGACGUGCUCAGUGAUGUGCGUUUUUAAAAAGCUUGACGUGGGAGAAAGAUGGUGAGUGCUCAAGUGACAGUCCUCUAGAAGCAAAACUCAUUUUAACAACGUUGCCAUGGCCAU